This 497-nucleotide ribosomal RNA is filed under the name uncultured bacterium. RNAcentral describes it as "partial 16S ribosomal RNA". It matches the Rfam family "Bacterial small subunit ribosomal RNA", at positions 28 to 507 of the family's 1533-position model. The record is from RNAcentral.
GAUGAACGCUGGCGGCGUGCCUAAUACAUGCAAGUCGAGCGAACGGACGAGAAGCUUGCUUCUCUGCUGUUAGCGGCGGACGGGUGAGUAACACGUGGAUAACCUACCUAUAAGACUGGGAUAACUUCGGGAAACCGGAGCUAAUACCGGAUAAUAUUUUGAACCGCAUGGUUCAAAAGUGAAAGACGGUCCUGCUGUCACUUAUAGAUGGAUCCGCGCUGCAUUAGCUAGUUGGUAAGGUAACGGCUUACCAAGGCAACGAUGCAUAGCCGACCUGAGAGGGUGAUCGGCCACACUGGAACUGAGACACGGUCCAGACUCCUACGGGAGGCAGCAGUAGGGAAUCUUCCGCAAUGGGCGAAAGCCUGACGGAGCAACGCCGCGUGAGUGAUGAAGGUCUUCGGAUCGUAAAACUCUGUUAUUAGGGAAGAACAUAUGUGUAAGUAACUGUGCACAUCUUGACGGUACCUAAUCAGAAAGCAACGGCUAACUACGUG